CCUACGGGAGGCAGCAGUGAGGAAUAUUGCACAAUGGAGGAAACUCUGAUGCAGCAACGCCGCGUGGAGGAUGACGCAUUUCGGUGUGUAAACUCCUUUUAUGAGUCAAGAAAAUGACGGUAGCUCAUGAAUAAGCACCGGCUAACUCCGUGCCAGCAGCCGCGGUAAU
This 169-nucleotide ribosomal RNA is filed under the name uncultured Sulfurimonas sp. RNAcentral's name for it is "partial 16S ribosomal RNA". It matches the Rfam family "Bacterial small subunit ribosomal RNA", at positions 338 to 524 of the family's 1533-position model. Lineage: Bacteria; Pseudomonadati; Campylobacterota; Epsilonproteobacteria; Campylobacterales; Sulfurimonadaceae. The record is from RNAcentral.